AAUAUUGGACAAUGGGGGGAACCCUGAUCCAGCCAUUCCGCGUGUGUGAAGAAGGUCUUCGGCCUGUAAAGCACUUUAAGUUGGGAGGAAGAGUUGUAGGCUAAUACCUUGUAUUUUUGACGUUACCAACAGAAUAAUCACCGGUUAACUACGUGCCAGCAGCCGUGGUAAUACGAUGGGUGCAAGCGUUAAUCGGAAUUACUGGGCGUAAAGCGCGCGUAGGUGGUUCGUUAAGUUGGAAGUGAAAGCCCCGGGCUUAACCUGGGAAUUGCUUUCAAAACUGACGAGAUAGAGUACGGUAGAGGGUAGUGGAAUUUCCUGUGUAGCGGUGAAAUGCGUAGAUAUAGGAAGGAACAUCAGUGGCGAAGGCGACUACCUGGACUGAUACUGACACUGAGGUGCGAAAGCGUGGGGAGCAAACAG
RNAcentral lists this ribosomal RNA (423 nucleotides) under uncultured bacterium. RNAcentral's name for it is "partial 16S ribosomal RNA". It matches the Rfam family "Bacterial small subunit ribosomal RNA", at positions 360 to 775 of the family's 1533-position model. The record is from RNAcentral.